Molecule: transfer RNA, 88 nt
Filed under: Dehalococcoidales bacterium
Lineage: Bacteria; Bacillati; Chloroflexota; Dehalococcoidia; Dehalococcoidales
Description: tRNA-Ser
Rfam family: tRNA
About the family: Transfer RNA (tRNA) molecules are approximately 80 nucleotides in length. Their secondary structure includes four short double-helical elements and three loops (D, anti-codon, and T loops). Further hydrogen bonds mediate the characteristic L-shaped molecular structure. tRNAs have two regions of fundamental functional importance: the anti-codon, which is responsible for specific mRNA codon recognition, and the 3' end, to which the tRNAs corresponding amino acid is attached (by aminoacyl-tRNA synthetases). tRNAs cope with the degeneracy of the genetic code in two manners: having more than one tRNA (with a specific anti-codon) for a particular amino acid; and 'wobble' base-pairing, i.e. permitting non-standard base-pairing at the 3rd anti-codon position.
Source: RNAcentral
GGAGAGGUGUCCGAGUGGUUGAUGGUGCCGCUCUCGAAAAGCGGUUCUCGAUUGUAUCGGGACGUGGGUUCGAAUCCCACCCUCUCCG